ACACACAGAAACACACAAUGCACCCCUUACACACACUCAAUGCACCCCUUACACACGCACACACUGCAUCCUGUACAUACACAGAAACACACCUUGCAGGCCUUACACAUACAAACACAGAUUCACACAAUGCAUUCCUUACACACAUAUCAGGACAUCCCCUACACACUCCACCCCCUGUGAACAAACUCAUUGGUGGAACAUGAAGGUGG
Molecule: non-coding RNA, 212 nt
Organism: Pelobates cultripes (western spadefoot toad)
Lineage: Eukaryota; Metazoa; Chordata; Amphibia; Anura; Pelobatidae
Source: the annotation of a GenBank genome assembly